This 295-nucleotide long non-coding RNA is filed under the name Solanum tuberosum (potato). Its description in RNAcentral is "long non-coding RNA (STUB_LNC005488)". The record is from RNAcentral. Lineage: Eukaryota; Viridiplantae; Streptophyta; Magnoliopsida; Solanales; Solanaceae.
GUAUGGGUUGUGGUCUUGGUAUCGGGUUCGGGUAUGGACAAGGAAUUGGUGUUGGGUUUUCCUGGGACGAAUUUAAGUCCAGAUUUUUUGAACCCAAAAGCAGUUCCAGAAACCCCUUUGUAAUUCAAAUCUGAACUCUUUUUGGAUAUUAAUUCACCUGUGUCUGCGCAAUUUUCUAUUUCCAUAAGCUUCUUCUUUGCAAUUUUGUUGGGUAAAAGAGAAUUUUGUUAUAAUCUCACUUUGUGCUUACAAGCUUCACAAAAAUGUUCUCUAAACUGAUGUUACAUGUAACACU